UUCUGUGACCUACCUAUCGUUGCUUCGGCGGACUCGCCCCAGCCCGGACGCGGACUGGACCAGCGGCCCGCCGGGGACCUCAAACUCUUGUAUUCCAGCAUCUUCUGAAUACGCCGCAAGGCAAAACAAAUGAAUCAAAACUUUCAACAACGGAUCUCUUGGCUCUGGCAUCGAUGAAGAACGCAGCGAAACGCGAUAAGUAAUGUGAAUUGCAGAAUCCAGUGAAUCAUCGAAUCUUUGAACGCACAUUGCGCCCGCCAGCAUUCUGGCGGGCAUGCCUGUUCGAGCGUCAUUUCAACCCUCGACCUCCCCUUGGGGAGGUCGGCGUUGGGGACCGGCAGCACACCGCCGGCCCUGAAAUGGAGUGGCGGCCCGUCCGCGGCGACCUCUGCGCAGUAAUACAGCUCGCACCGGAACCCCGACGCGGCCACGCCGUAAAACACCCAACUUCUGAACGUUGACCUCGAAUCAGGUAGGACUACCCGCUGAACUUAAGCAUAUCAAUAAGCGGAGGUAACUUAA
This 522-nucleotide ribosomal RNA is filed under the name Beauveria bassiana. RNAcentral describes it as "eukaryotic LSU rRNA". The stretch from base 139 to 292 matches the Rfam family "5.8S ribosomal RNA". Lineage: Eukaryota; Fungi; Ascomycota; Sordariomycetes; Hypocreales; Cordycipitaceae. The record is from RNAcentral.